Molecule: ribosomal RNA, 545 nt
Filed under: Aspergillus fumigatus
Lineage: Eukaryota; Fungi; Ascomycota; Eurotiomycetes; Eurotiales; Aspergillaceae
Description: eukaryotic LSU rRNA
Rfam family: 5.8S ribosomal RNA (bases 163-316)
Source: RNAcentral
AACCUCCCACCCGUGUCUAUCGUACCUUGUUGCUUCGGCGGGCCCGCCGUUUCGACGGCCGCCGGGGAGGCCCUGCGCCCCCGGGCCCGCGCCCGCCGAAGACCCCAACAUGAACGCUGUUCUGAAAGUAUGCAGUCUGAGUUGAUUAUCGUAAUCAGUUAAAACUUUCAACAACGGAUCUCUUGGUUCCGGCAUCGAUGAAGAACGCAGCGAAAUGCGAUAAGUAAUGUGAAUUGCAGAAUUCAGUGAAUCAUCGAGUCUUUGAACGCACAUUGCGCCCCCUGGUAUUCCGGGGGGCAUGCCUGUCCGAGCGUCAUUGCUGCCCUCAAGCACGGCUUGUGUGUUGGGCCCCCGUCCCCCUCUCCCGGGGGACGGGCCCGAAAGGCAGCGGCGGCACCGCGUCCGGUCCUCGAGCGUAUGGGGCUUUGUCACCUGCUCUGUAGGCCCGGCCGGCGCCAGCCGACACCCAACUUUAUUUUUCUAAGGUUGACCUCGGAUCAGGUAGGGAUACCCGCUGAACUUAAGCAUAUCAAUAAGCGGAGGAA